Molecule: unclassified non-coding RNA, 1742 nt
Filed under: uncultured fungus
Lineage: Eukaryota; Fungi
Description: sequence contains 18S rRNA gene, ITS1, 5.8S rRNA gene, ITS2, 28S rRNA gene
Rfam family: Eukaryotic large subunit ribosomal RNA (bases 786-1742)
Source: RNAcentral
GGUUGGAUCAUUAUUGAUUAAACCUUAGCUUGGAAGUUGAGACCUUUACGGGACUCCUUUCAGGUUAAAUUUACACUAUGUGCACUGUAUAUGUUUUUCGAGUCUAUUGGUAUGCGAAAGAGUAAUGGUAAGGAAUGACUUUACGGUUAUCCUUUACUAUGAAAGUAGCCGUACUUUAGGUUUAAUGAAGUUGAUUUGGGUUAAAGUUUGUUAGUAACUGAAAGGUGAAAAUGAAUUUGAACUUGUGUUAAUUUCAGGUAACUUUUUUGUUAGGGGAUUCACUCCCUACUAUAGACUCGGCUUUAUUAACCAACCCUUUUAACAUUUGACUUAGAAAUUUUUGUAAAAAAGAAAUUAAAACAACUUUUGACAACGGAUCUCUAGGCUCUCGCAACGAUGAAGAACGCAGCGAAAUGCGAUACGUAAUGUGAAUUGCAGAAUUCCGUGAAUCAUCUAAUCUUUGAACGCACAUUGCACUCUCUUUCGGGAGAGUAUGCCUGUUUGAGAAUCUAUAGUAUUCUUUUUCUUAAUUAUGAGCCUAUCUUUUUACUAAGAUAGUGAAUAAUUGAUUAGGAAAGAUUUGAGGUUUCCCUAUUGACUUAGGGUACCUUUAAAUAGAUAACUUUGAAUGGCAAUUUGAUGUUUGAACCUUCAACAUUCAUCGGAACAGUAGUCGAAUAAACCUUUUGGUUUUAACUUUUGCUAAGUACUUUGAUAGGAGAUUAGUCAUGUUGGUAUUGAAGGUCCUUAACCUUGAUAAAGUCAAUUUGCGUUGACUUGAACCAUGGUCUCAAAUCAGGUAGGAAGACCCGCUGAACUUAAGCAUAUCAAUAAGCGGAGGAAAAGAAACUAACAAGGAUUCCCCUAGUAACGGCGAGUGAAGCGGGAACAGCUCAAAUUUGAAAUCUUACUGUUUUACAGUACGAAUUGUAGUUUAGAGAAGCGUUUUCGAGGUCGACAUUUAGUACAAGUUCUUUGGAACGAGACAUCAUAGAGGGUGAAAAUCCCGUCUUUGACUAAGUGUUUGAUCUUAUGUGAUACGUUUUCCAAGAGUCGGUUUGUUUGGGAAUGCAGACCAAAAUGGGUGGUAAAUACCAUCUAAAGCUAAAUAUUGGCGAGAGACCGAUAGCGAACAAGUACCGUGAGGGAAAGAUGAAAAGAACUUUGAAAAGAGAGUUAAAUAGUACGUGAAAUUGUCAAAAGGGAAACGCUUGAAACCAGUAUUGUGGGCAGAAAUUCAGCUAUUCAUUAGAGUAGUGUAUUUUUCUGUUUACGAGUCAACAUCAGUUUUGUUUAAAGUAAAAAGCUUUAGGAAGGUAGCCUUCGGGUAUUAUAGCCUAAAGUCAUGCUUUGGAUGAGACUGAGGACUGCAGCGUUAUUUGGGUUUAUUCCACACCAACGCUUAGGAUGUUGACGAAAUGGUUUUAAACGACCCGUCUUGAAACACGGACCAAGGAGUCUAACAUGUAUGCGAGUAUUUGGGUUGUAAACCCUUUUGCGUAGUGAAAGCGAAAAGGUGGGACUCUUUAUUGAUGCACCAUCGGCCGCGACAGAUUAUUACUAUCUCGUCGUGAGUAUGAGCAUAUAUGUUGGGACCCGAAAGAUGGUGAACUAUGCCUGAAUAGGGUGAAGCCAGAGGAAACUCUGGUGGAGGCUCGUAGCGGUUCUGACGUGCAAAUCGAUCGUCGAAUUUGGGUAUAGGGGCGAAAGACUAAUCGAACCAUCUAGUAGCUGGUUCCCUC